RNAcentral lists this ribosomal RNA (419 nucleotides) under bacterium. RNAcentral describes it as "partial 16S ribosomal RNA". It matches the Rfam family "Bacterial small subunit ribosomal RNA", at positions 355 to 776 of the family's 1533-position model. The record is from RNAcentral.
UGGGGGAUAUUGCACAAUGGGCGAAAGCCUGAUGCAGCGACGCCGCGUGGGGGAUGAAGGCCUUCGGGUUGUAAACUUCUUUUGCUCUGAACAAGGCGCACCAUGGGGUGUGUUGAGUGUAGGGGUUGAUUAGCGCCGGCUAACUACGUGCCAGCAGCCGCGGUAAUACGUAGGGCGCGAGCGUUGUCCGGAAUUAUUGGGCGUAAAGGGCUUGUAGGUGGCUGGUUGCGUCUGUCGUGAAAGCUCAUGGCUUAACUGUGGGUUUGCGGUGGGUACGGGCUGGCUUGAGUGCAGUAGGGGAAGCUGGAAUUCCUGGUGUAGCGGUGGAAUGCGCAGAUAUCAGGAGGAAUACCGGUGGCGAAGGCGGGUCUCUGGGCUGUUACUGACACUGAGGAGCGAAAGCAUGGGGAGCGAACAGG